CUUGGUCAUUUAGAGGAAGUAAAAGUCGUAACAAGGUUUCCGUAGGUGAACCUGCGGAAGGAUCAUUACUGAAGAAAUGGUAGUGUUGAGCUGGCUCUUAGGAGUAUGUGCUCGCUCUAUCGCUUUUUCUACUCUCCACUGUGCACCUAUUGUAGGCUAUGACAACUCUCAAGUUCUCCCUCCCCCGAGGGGUUACUUGGAUAGAAGGCUAUGCAAUUCACGUUGCUUGCUUUCAACUUUGUAGCCUAUGUCUUAUACAAACUCUUUAUAGUUUUAUGAAUGAAUAUUGUUGGUCUUUGACCGAUAAAUUGUUAUACAACUUUCAGCAACGGAUCUCUUGGCUCUCGCAUCGAUGAAGAACGCAGCGAAAUGCGAUAAGUAAUGUGAAUUGCAGAAUUCAGUGAAUCAUCGAAUCUUUGAACGCACCUUGCACUCCUUGGUAUUCCGAGGAGUAUGCCUGUUUGAGUGUCAUUAAAUUCUCAAAACCUAGCUGUUUAUUUAUGAAUGGUUAGGCUUUUUGGACGUGAGGGUUUUCUGCUGGCUUUAAUCGAGUCGGCUCCCUUUAAAUGCAUUAGUGGUUGCUUCAUUCACUAGAGUGUGAUAGUAUAUCUACGCUCGUUACAGUGAACUGAUAAGGUCAUCCGCUUCAAACCGUCUUGGGUGUCGAGACAAUUUUUGACUAUUUGACCUCAAAUCAGGUAGGACUACCCGCUGAACUUAAGCAUAUCAAUAAGCGGAGGAA
Molecule: ribosomal RNA, 742 nt
Filed under: Inflatostereum aff. glabrum HT06
Lineage: Eukaryota; Fungi; Basidiomycota; Agaricomycetes; Agaricales; Porotheleaceae
Description: eukaryotic LSU rRNA
Rfam family: 5.8S ribosomal RNA (bases 318-471)
Source: RNAcentral